Molecule: long non-coding RNA, 443 nt
Organism: Homo sapiens (human)
Lineage: Eukaryota; Metazoa; Chordata; Mammalia; Primates; Hominidae
Exons: 2
Source: RefSeq, a predicted model, not a curated record
GGGAGAAAGCUCAGAGAGGUGGACCACAGGCGUGCUGGGUAGAGAAAAGCAGAAGAGGAAGAAGACGUGUCCUCGGCCCCCUUGAGUGAAUAGCCAUGGAGCUCCUAAAAAGAAUGGGACCUUUCACUUGACCUCCCUUCUCUCCCUUGCCUACUGCCCCUGAGCGAGUGCUUCAGCUACAGUCUGGGAGCCGAAGAUGCCUGUGUUUGAUGCCUCCAGCACCCUGUCUCUGCAUCUUGAAUCCAGCCACGUGACCAUCUCUUGCCCACCUUUGGCCAAUGUCCCUGAGACAUUUCAAGUGCAUCAUGCUGCAGACUGGUGUUGCUGUCUCCACAAUACCGCGCUUCCCCUGUGUCCCCAUCUCAGUCUUUGGUCCCACUAUCCACUUCCCACAUGCAGCCAUUGAGUCCUCUAUUUUUCUUCCUUAAAUCUCCAGAAUCUGC